Siniperca chuatsi (mandarin fish) is the source of this 852-nucleotide long non-coding RNA. RefSeq lists it as uncharacterized. NCBI's taxonomy places the organism in Eukaryota, Metazoa, Chordata, Actinopteri, Centrarchiformes, Sinipercidae. The transcript is spliced from 2 exons. The record is from RefSeq and is a predicted model, not a curated record.
ACAUAUCUGGAUAUCACCGGGCCGCGCAUCACGGUUUGCUCCCUGUCCAUUUCGCCCCUUCUGAGCAGAUCCAUGCAGCUCACCUGCUGUGCGCCAUGGCACACCUCUCCAAAGUCGUCCUCUCUAAGCAUGUGAUGGAUGAGGACGUCAGCAACAAGAGAAGAGUGAAGGCAGCCAGAGAAACGAGUCACAUUUCUGUUACCUGAGGCAUAUUUCCUUCUGCUAUUUAGUAGCCUAAUAAAACGAAAAAAGAAAAACGCGCUUGUUCCUUGGGGAAGUCUGGGUUGCUGGGUUGUUUCUGGCAACCCUGCUGUGCCAGAGCCUUUUCUAUACCUGCCUUCUGCAGAAGUGGAGGCAGUGACACGGCAGAGGUGCAGUGACGGGAGCUGAAGUGAAGGACUUGGUGAUUAUAGCAUAUCAGUGGCAAUGUAACUUUUUUAUUGGAUAGACCAAAAUCUAGUUGAAUGUGAUAAUUAGCUUUUAUUUUUGAUUGCAGCUCAUCUAUUUUCAUGCUGAACAACAGUUUGCCUCAUUUGGCAAAUUGAAGGUGAUGCUUACUUUCAGAGGGGAAAUGAUUCACGCACAACACACUGAUGGUGUUUCUCUGUAUUUUAUUUCUGUGUUAAAGAAUAGAGGAUUUAAUAUUUAUAUGGAAUAAUAACAAGUGUCUCAAAUGUCAUUGCUUUCAUUUUAUUAAAUAUUAAUACGGUUUUCAUUAGUUGGCAUAGGUGAUUGACAAAAGCAAACCUUUUCAUAAAUGAGAGCAUAGAUGAUAUAUUUGUUUCAUAUGUUUUAAACAUGAAUGUGUUUUUUGUUCUUAUGACAUAAAAGAUUUAUUUUUACGAAAGUUGA